Molecule: ribosomal RNA, 500 nt
Filed under: uncultured bacterium
Lineage: Bacteria
Description: partial 16S ribosomal RNA
Rfam family: Bacterial small subunit ribosomal RNA
Source: RNAcentral
GGCGAACGCUGGCGGCGUGCUUAACACAUGCAAGUCGAACGGGUCUGCCCUGUUUUUUGCGGGGUGGGUCAGUGGCGAACGGGUGAGUAACACGUGAGUAACCUGCCCCUCACUUCUGGAUAACCGCUUGAAAGGGUGGCUAAUCCGGGGUGUUCUGGCUGUGCCGCAUGGUGUGGCUGGGAAAGAUUCACUUUUGUGGUGUUUUGGUGGGGGAUGGGCUCGCGGCCUAUCAGCUUGUUGGGGGGGUGAUGGCCUGCGAGGGCGUUGACGGGUAGCCGGCCGGGGAGGGUCGGCGGCAACACUGGGGCGGCGAGGCGGCCCAGCCUCCGGGGGGAGGCAGCAGUGGGGGGUAGUGCAAAAUGGGCGGAAGGCUGAUGCAGCGACGUCGCGGGAGGGAUGGAGGCCGUCGGGUUGUGAACCUCUUUCGCCGGUGAAGAAGGGCCUGCUCUUUGUGGUGGGGUUGACGGUAGCCGGGUUAUGAAGCGCCGGCUAACUACGUG